GCGUGGGUAGUAUAAUGGUUAUUAUCUCGGUUUCCCAUUUACCGAGGACCCGAGUUCGAUUCUCGGCUCACGCA
RNAcentral lists this transfer RNA (74 nucleotides) under Rhizoctonia solani AG-1 IB. Its description in RNAcentral is "tRNA-Gly". It matches the Rfam family "tRNA". Rfam says of the family: Transfer RNA (tRNA) molecules are approximately 80 nucleotides in length. Their secondary structure includes four short double-helical elements and three loops (D, anti-codon, and T loops). Lineage: Eukaryota; Fungi; Basidiomycota; Agaricomycetes; Cantharellales; Ceratobasidiaceae. The record is from RNAcentral.